Molecule: long non-coding RNA, 533 nt
Organism: Saccostrea echinata
Lineage: Eukaryota; Metazoa; Mollusca; Bivalvia; Ostreida; Ostreidae
Exons: 5
Source: RefSeq, a predicted model, not a curated record
GCAUGUUAUGUUUAUGUUUUUAGUCUAUCGUGUCACACCAGCAACUACCAUAAGAGAAUACAAGGACACGGGAAGGAUCCGCCACUUCUUCUGUGAAAUAUUUCAGCUUCAUUGAGAGAAAAAUGGGAAAUGGAGAAAGUCAAGCUCUAGAGGAGGAAAAGGAUAGAACACGGCAGCGUGAAAGAGAAAUAAGAAGACUGGAAGACAAACUGACAAAGCAGAUCGAGGGAGGUAAAUACUUAAACUUUAUUGAACGAUCUUUUUGGAUUGCAAGAACGUACGUUUAAAAAGCAAAAUACACGUAACUACAUGACAUCUAUGUAAGUGAUACUAGAACUGUAAAAAAUAUAAAGAUGUAUGAUUGUCGAACUUAAAAAGUAACAAUUAUUUCAUGUAAAUCAGACAACUUACAAUGUAUUUUAAAUGCUGUUUUACAGUCAAAAGUAAGACAGAACAUUAUGGAUUUGAAUUUAAAUUGCUAUUACAUUUAAAAAAUUUAAGACUGAAAAAAAAGUUUUUGUAAAAUACAUAUA